AGUGAACGCUGGCGGUAGGCCUAACACAUGCAAGUCGAACGGCAGCACAGUAAGAGCUUGCUCUUACGGGUGGCGAGUGGCGGACGGGUGAGGAAUACAUCGGAAUCUACUUUUUCGUGGGGGAUAGCGUAGGGAAACUUACGCUAAUACCGCAUACGACCUACGGGUGAAAGCAGGGGAUCUUCGGACCUUGCUCGAUUGAAUGAGCCGAUGUCGGAUUAGCUAGUUGGCGGGGUAAAGGCCCACCAAGGCGACGAUCCGUAGCUGGUCUGAGAGGAUGAUCAGCCACACUGGAACUGAGACACGGUCCAGACUCCUACGGGAGGCAGCAGUGGGGAAUAUUGGACAAUGGGCGCAAGCCUGAUCCAGCCAUACCGCGUGGGUGAAGAAGGCCUUCGGGUUGUAAAGCCCUUUUGUUGGGAAAGAAAAGCAGCAGGUUAAUACCCCGCUGUUCUGACGGUACCCAAAGAAUAAGCACCGGCUAACUUCGUG
This 492-nucleotide ribosomal RNA is filed under the name uncultured bacterium. Its description in RNAcentral is "partial 16S ribosomal RNA". It matches the Rfam family "Bacterial small subunit ribosomal RNA", at positions 29 to 507 of the family's 1533-position model. The record is from RNAcentral.